GAGAACCCACGCAUGCAUGGGGAGAACAUGCAGACUCCAUACAGAAAGGCUCCUAUCAGAUGGGGAUUCAAACCAGUAACCUCCUCGCUAUGAGGCAACAGUGCUAACCACUGCACCACCGUGCAACCCCACAAUCUCAAAACCAGCGAUAUCCAAGACUCCAAUGAAGAACUGUCUUGGCUGCUUUGUGUCCAGCAUCUCAUUGAUUCGGACGACCAUCCAUGCGAACAUUUUCUCAUAAAUGGACUUGCAGAGAGCGCUGACAGAAUUGUUGACCUAAAAAUAAAGAUUUAAUUUCUCAUUA
Labrus bergylta (ballan wrasse) is the source of this 304-nucleotide non-coding RNA. NCBI's taxonomy places the organism in Eukaryota, Metazoa, Chordata, Actinopteri, Labriformes, Labridae. The record is from RefSeq and is a predicted model, not a curated record.